This 238-nucleotide ribosomal RNA is filed under the name uncultured bacterium. RNAcentral's name for it is "partial 16S ribosomal RNA". It matches the Rfam family "Bacterial small subunit ribosomal RNA", at positions 15 to 249 of the family's 1533-position model. The record is from RNAcentral.
GAUCCUGGCUCAGAGUGAACGCUGGCGGCAGGCCUAAUACAUGCAAGUCGAACGGCAGCACAGCAGAGCUUGCUCUGUGGGUGGCGAGUGGCGGACGGGUGAGGAAUACAUGGGAAUCUGCCCAGUCGUGGGGGAUAACGUAUGGAAACGUACGCUAAUACCGCAUGCGCCCUACGGGGGAAAGCCGGGGACCUUCGGGCCUGGCGCGAUUGGAUGAGCCCAUGUUCGAUUAGCUAGG